GAUGAACGCUGGCGGCGUGCCUAAUACAUGCAAGUCGAGCGAACAGAUAAGGAGCUUGCCCCUUUGACGUUAGCGGCGGACGGGUGAGUAACACGUGGGUGACCUACCUAUAAGACUGGGAUAACUUCGGGAAACCGGAGCUAAUACCGGAUAACAUUUGAAACCGCAUGGUUCUAAAGUGAAAGAUGGUUUUGCUAUCACUAAUAGAUGGACCCGCGCCGUAUUAGCUAGUUGGUAAGGUAACGGUUUACCAAGGCGACGAUACGUAGCCGACCUGAGAGGGUGAUCGGCCACACUGGAACGGGGACACGGUCCAGACUCCUACGGGAGGCAGCAGUAGGGAAUCUUCCGCAAUGGGCGAAAGCCUGACGGAGCAACGCCGCGUGAGUGAUGAAGGGUUUCGGCUCGUAAAACUCUGUUAUUAGGGAAGAACAAAUGUGUAAGUAACUGUGCACGUCUUGACGGUACCUAAUCAGAAAGCCACGGCUAACUACGUGCCAGCCGCCGCAGUAA
RNAcentral lists this ribosomal RNA (513 nucleotides) under uncultured bacterium. RNAcentral describes it as "partial 16S ribosomal RNA". It matches the Rfam family "Bacterial small subunit ribosomal RNA", at positions 28 to 523 of the family's 1533-position model. The record is from RNAcentral.